GCUGAAACUCGCCUACAUGAAGCUGGAGCUACUAGUAAUCGCCGAUCAGAAUGCUGCGGUGAAUGCGUUCCCGGGUCUUGUACACACCGCCCGUCACACCACGGGAGUUGGAGACGCCCGAAGCCGACUAUCUAACCUUUUGGAAGAAGUCGUCGAAGGCGGAAUCAAUAACUGGGGUGAAGUCGUAACAAGGUAGCCGUAUCGGAAGGUGCGGCUGGAUCACCUCCUUUCUAAGGAGA
RNAcentral lists this ribosomal RNA (239 nucleotides) under Clostridioides difficile. Its description in RNAcentral is "partial 16S ribosomal RNA". It matches the Rfam family "Bacterial small subunit ribosomal RNA", at positions 1304 to 1533 of the family's 1533-position model. The record is from RNAcentral. Lineage: Bacteria; Bacillati; Bacillota; Clostridia; Peptostreptococcales; Peptostreptococcaceae.